Molecule: ribosomal RNA, 432 nt
Filed under: Drosophila ananassae
Lineage: Eukaryota; Metazoa; Arthropoda; Insecta; Diptera; Drosophilidae
Description: partial 12S ribosomal RNA
Source: RNAcentral
UAAACUAGGAUUAGAUACCCUAUUAUUUAAAAUGUAAAUAAAUUGCUAAAGUAGUAAUAGUUAUGUUCUUGAAACUUAAAAAAUUUGGCGGUAUUUUAGUCUAUCUAGAGGAACCUGUUUUUUAAUCGAUAAUCCACGAUGGACCUUACUUAAAUUUGUAAUCAGUUUAUAUACCGUCGUUAUCAGAAUAUUUUAUAAGAAUAAUAAUAUUCAAUAAUUUUAAUAAAAAUUUAUAUCAGAUCAAGGUGUAGCUUAUAUUUAAGUAAUAAUGGGUUACAAUAAAUUUAUUUAUAUGAAUAAAAUUAUGAAAAAAUUUUUGAAAGUGGAUUUAGUAGUAAAAUUAUAAAGAUUAAUAAUUUGAUUUUAGCUCUAAAAUAUGUACACAUCGCCCGUCGCUCUUAUUAUUAAGGUAAGAUAAGUCGAACAUAGUAA